GUGAUGCAGAGCAAAUCCCCAAAAGCAGUCUUAGUUCGGAUUGUAGGCUGCAACUCGCCUACAUGAAGUCGGAAUUGCUAGUAAUCGCGGAUCAGCAUGCCGCGGUGAAUACGUUCCCGGGCCUUGUACACACCGCCCGUCACACCAUGGGAGUCGGUAACACCCGAAGCCUGUAGUCUAACCGCAAGGAGGACGCAGUCGAAGGUGGGAUUGGCGACUGGGGUGAAGUCGUAACAAGGUAAC
RNAcentral lists this ribosomal RNA (243 nucleotides) under uncultured bacterium. RNAcentral's name for it is "partial 16S ribosomal RNA". It matches the Rfam family "Bacterial small subunit ribosomal RNA", at positions 1257 to 1500 of the family's 1533-position model. The record is from RNAcentral.